UGUUAAAGCCAUGAAACAUUGUUUUGCAGGCUGAUCUCUUUCUAGCACCACAGAUCCAUGGAGCAAUCAACAGAUUCCAGAUUAACAUGGAACCGUACCCGACUCUUGCAAAGUGUUACGAGUCAUACAAUGAUCUUCCUGCUUUUCAAAAUGCUGUCCCAGAGAAGCAGCCAGAUGCUCCUUCCACCAACUGAUUCUGCGAACCGUAAGCUGCUCUCAGCUCAAUAGUCAAUAAUACCUCGCAGUCAACAACAACAAUGAUGAUAAUAAUUACUUGUAUUCAUAUUAUCGUAUAUGUAUCAUAGUACUUCUUAGUUCCUCUACUUGUAUUAUACAAUAAAGGUCUUAAGAGUUUGACAUUUGCAAAGAUAA
Molecule: non-coding RNA, 372 nt
Organism: Camelina sativa (false flax)
Lineage: Eukaryota; Viridiplantae; Streptophyta; Magnoliopsida; Brassicales; Brassicaceae
Source: RefSeq, a predicted model, not a curated record